Arachis ipaensis is the source of this 2708-nucleotide RNA transcript. RefSeq lists it as uncharacterized. The record is from RefSeq and is a predicted model, not a curated record. NCBI's taxonomy places the organism in Eukaryota, Viridiplantae, Streptophyta, Magnoliopsida, Fabales, Fabaceae.
GAGGAUUUGCUUAAAGGAGGAAGAACAUGUAAAUGGUCUAAAGAUUUUUAUUUAGGUUGCACAUAUCUAGUUCGAGUUAAUUGUUAGCUAGUUUUGUAAAUGAAUAAUGACCGGAAGAUAUGUUUGAAAAAAUAAUUAUGUAGGUAGGACGAUCAUUAUAGAUGUAAUUGUGAUUUAUAACCUUUUUAUUAAUAAUAUUUAAUUUUCUAGUUCUCCAGCCUUGAUGGCAAUGCCGAAGGGGACGGUGAACUAGAUUUUAUCUCAUCUAUUUUUUGUUCUCUUGCUUGAGUAGUGUUCAAGCCAUUCUUUCUCUUUUGAUUUCCCAUUAAUCUUUUUUAUGUCAUUGUUCAACUCCUUGCUUCACCUCUUUGUUUCAUUAUAGAACCUUUAUGAUCUUGAGUGUCUUUGACUUGAUGCUUUAGUUUAAUUUAGUGCAUUAUUCUUGUUAUGAUUCCAAUAAGCUAAUUUAGCUGCGAGAGUUUAAUUUAAUUUGCACUUGAAGCUAUUUUGUUGCUGCGUUACAUCAUGGUUAGGUAAAGGUAUUUUGAAGCUAUUUUUUUUCUGACGAUAUAAAUGUAAAAUUGUCAUGCUGAUUUCAGUAAUAGAGAAUAUUUGUUGACAUGGCUUAGUUAUUAUCCUCUGUUGUCUUUUUAGUUGUACUCUAUUCUAUGUUAAUGGAAAAAUAUUUUAAGAAAAAUAAAAUUCAUAUUAUUUCUCACUAAUCAGACUCAAACAUUAAAGUCAUGGUGCUCCAAGUUAUAAAAACUUUGGAUGUUGUCUUUUAAAUUUUAAAGUGGACAGUAGUUGCACAUAAGUUAAUUAUAUGGGGUAUGACUAAAGAAACUUCAAAUUCAUAUUAUUUAUUUAUUUGAAUAUUGAUGUUUGCCUACAAAAAAUGUAGGCAUUUUAUUAUAAUGAAUUAUUAUUUUGUUGAUUGCUAAACUCAUAUACAAUAAUAUUGAUCACUAUGUUUGAAUGCCUUCUCACAAUAAGGCCCAGAAGCUUUAAUUGUAGAGAAAAGCACAAGUGAAUAAUGUGAUGCUGACAACAGAACACACCAUGAAUCCAUAACAUUAUAAAGAAUUACCUAGUCCAAUGUUAGACAUCUUGCAAGAACAUAGUACAUAUUGGUUUGGGAACCAGAUUAAUGUCUGUUACAAUCUUGUUUGAAACUUAAAUAUCAAUUACAAUGUACUUUAAGGUUGAUACCAGUUUGUUUAUCAAGAAAAAGGACAUUCAUAACCAAAUUUAUUUCUUUGCUUGCUGAUGCUAAUAAUAUCAGGUAUUCGUUUCGCGUCCAAGUGGUGAAAAACAUUUAUAGAUUGCCUUGUAAAUUACCAGUUACUAAUUUAUGAAGAACCUGACCCAGCAAGCACUGAGAAUAGUUUGUCCUCAGAUCUCACCUAUUAUACCCCAUAAUUACAAGGAGAGUAGCUUUCCUGCACCAGUUUUUACUUUUGUGUUAAAUAAUUUUGGAAAAACAACAGCAGAUGUCACCUUGCUUUUCACAUGGACUGUAAGUGAAACUUUUUUAAUGUUUUAUCCUAUUCUUGGCCCUUGGAGUGCUUAAUGCAAACAAUUGAUGUAUGCAUUCAGAUCUGUGUUGGAUGACACAACUUAUUUUUUAUUUUUUCUUUUAUUAUUCUUGUUAAUUUUUCAUAAUUAUAUUUUUUAUUACAAUAUUUUUCAUCUCAAAUUUUUUGAAUGAAAAAAAAUGUGAAUAAAUUAGAUUUUCUGAAUUUAUUUUAGUUUAUUACCAAAUAGAAUACAAGAACACAAAAUUGUGUGUCUCUGUCCUUUAUGUCUUGUUCUCAGUGUCUUGUUCUUAGAAACAAACGCAGCCUUGAUGUAUGCAUUCAGAUUUCUGUUGGAGGACUUUCUGAGUUUACUGGCGAUCAUUCUAAUUCAAAGAUGUAAGAAAAUUGUAACUUGUUCACCUUCUUUGUGAAAAUCUCCCAUUUGAUUGCUUUUUAUUCUAACAUUAAAGACACAUAUUUUGUCAUGCUAGGGUGAAUGACAAAGUUAUAAUUUUUCACAAUAUUUCAUUUAAACUUGAAAAAUAUUUAUUCAUUGUUUUGUUAUAUCAAGUUAUUGGUUCCAUCAUGUUUUCUUCUCCUGGAUAAAGCUAAUUAUUUUGUUCUAGCUUCUAAGCAUUAUAUAAGACAAGCACUUGGAUUUUCUUUUAUUUGGGUAUCAUAAAUAAUUUCUUGUCAAUUAUGACAAUUACAAUGUUGAAGACUUCAAGUCCUGUCAAGCAUCACUGUUUCAUAAUAUUGGAAGCCUAAACAAUUACUCCUUUUGAACUCUUAAAAAUGAUGUAUCUUGUAAUAUCUUAGGGCAAUCUUUUAGGAUUGGUUUUUAUAUUUUCUUACAUUACGCCAUUUUUCAUCUUUAUUUUAGUAUGUUUGGGAUUCUAAUAUUUUUCAAAAAUAGGGGUUGUUACUUUGUAAUUUAUCUCAUGGUACAUCUCAUCAUAUCAGAAUGGCUGAGUUGAUUGAAUGAAGAUAUCAUGAUGCAGAUUGUAAUGCUGUUUUUUCAGCUUUUGUUGCUUUUUUGUUCUUCUUAUCCCCACCCCAUCCCCCUUUUUUUGUUGAUGUUUAGCAUGUGUUUACAUUGCACUUAUGAAAUUCAAUCAUUUGUAUUUUGGUUCAUGUGGUGCUAAUCUUAAUCUGUGAUUUUCUUUGAAAGCUCUUCAAAAGAUGUCUAUU